CUGCCAUGUGACCUGGCUGAUAUACUAUCUGCCAUCUGACCUGGCUGGUAUACUAUCUACCAUGUGACCUGGCUGGUAUACUAUCUGCCAUGUGACCUGGCAGGUAUACUAUCUACCAUGUGACCUGGCUGGUAUACUAUCUACCAUGUGACCUGGCAGGUAUAAAAUCUACCAUGUUACCUGGCAGGUAUACUAUCUACCAUGUGACCUGGCUGGUAUAUCAUCUACCAUGUGACCUGGCUGAUAUACUAUCUACCAUGUGACCUGGCUGGUAUACUAUCUACCAUGUGACCUGGCUGGUAUACUAUCUACCAUGUGACCUGGCAGGUAUUUUAUCUACCAUGUAACAUUGCUGGUAUAUUAUCUACCAUGUGACCUGGCAGGUACACUAUCUACCAUGUCACACACACCCCCACACGCACACACUCACACACGCAUGCUCGCACACACAUACACACACCCACCUCCGCACCCACACACACACACACACACACACACACACACACACACACACACACACACACACACACACACACACACCCACAUACGGACACACACACACACCCACAUACGCACACACACACCCACACAUGCACACACGCACACGCAGGCAAGCACUCACAGAUCAACAUGUGCUUUCUAUUGCUGUGGAAGAGAGCCUGCUCUCCACAGGCCAAUGGAUCUUUGUAAGUGUGUGUGUGUGUGUGUGUGUGUGUGUGUGUGUGUGUGUGUGUGUGUGUGUGUGUGUGUGUGUGUGUGUGUGUGUGUGUGUGUGUGUGUGUAUACAUUAACUCCGAAGGCGACUAGGGUCGAAAUGAAUCACAUUAAGGGGAGAUGGGACGGCUAGGAUGGAUGACCUCCAUACACACACAGCAGAGUCCAGCCCCCUGAUCAAAUCAACUGCCAGACCAGUCAUUACUUCACCACGUGACUCUGUGAGCUAUAAGAACAC
RNAcentral lists this long non-coding RNA (952 nucleotides) under Salmo salar (Atlantic salmon). Its description in RNAcentral is "lncRNA (ENSSSAG00000097242.1)". The record is from RNAcentral. Lineage: Eukaryota; Metazoa; Chordata; Actinopteri; Salmoniformes; Salmonidae.